AGCAAGUUUCCCAACGAAGGGCCAGACGGACUUUUAAUCCGUUGGUCGCAGGUUCGAAUCCCGCACGGCCUACCA
This 75-nucleotide transfer RNA is filed under the name Janthinobacterium lividum. Its description in RNAcentral is "tRNA-Lys". Lineage: Bacteria; Pseudomonadati; Pseudomonadota; Betaproteobacteria; Burkholderiales; Oxalobacteraceae. The record is from RNAcentral.